AAUCAACGCUGGCGGCGUGCCUCAGACAUGCAAGUCGAACGCGAAAGGUUCCUUCGGGAGCCGAGUAGAGUGGCGCUCGGGUGAGUAACACGUAGGUAAUUUGCCGUUUGGGUGGGGAAUAACAAUCGGAAACGGUUGCUAAUACCGCAUAAUGCAGCGGCUCGACAUCGAGACAGUUGUUAAAGCGGGGAUCCUUCGGGACCUCGCGCCUAAAGAGAAGCCUGCGGCGGAUUAGCUAGUUGGUGAGGUAAUGGCUCACCAAGGCGACGAUCCGUAACCGGCCUGAGAGGGCGGACGGUCACACUGACACUUAAUACGGGUCAGACUCCGUACGGGAGGCAGCA
This 344-nucleotide ribosomal RNA is filed under the name uncultured bacterium. RNAcentral describes it as "partial 16S ribosomal RNA". It matches the Rfam family "Bacterial small subunit ribosomal RNA", at positions 32 to 353 of the family's 1533-position model. The record is from RNAcentral.